CCUACGGGUGGCAGCAGUCAAGAAUCUUUCUCAAUGGGCGAGACCCUGAUCCUGCCACGCCGCGUGAAGGAUUAAGGAUCUUUGGUUUGUAAACUUCUUUUAUGUGGGAAUAAAGUGAGAAGCGUGUUCCUUUUUAUAAGUACCAUAUUAAUUCGCUUCCGCUAACCCCGUGCAAGCAGCCGUGGUAAUCCGGAGGAUCAGAGCCUUAUCCGGAGUCAUUGGGUGUAAAGGGCGCGUAGAUGGGUUGGUAAGUCAGUUGUGAAAGGUGGCGGCUCAACCGUCAAAUGGCAAGUGAUACUGGCAGUCUAGAGUACAGGAGAGGUAGGCGGAAUUCGUGGUGUAGCAGUGAAAUGCGUAGAUAUCGCGAGGAACACUGAUUGCGAAGGCAGCUUACUGAAC
RNAcentral lists this ribosomal RNA (399 nucleotides) under uncultured bacterium. RNAcentral's name for it is "partial 16S ribosomal RNA". It matches the Rfam family "Bacterial small subunit ribosomal RNA", at positions 338 to 734 of the family's 1533-position model. The record is from RNAcentral.